UACGAAGGGGGCUAGCGUUGUUCGGAAUUACUGGGCGUAAAGCGUGCGCAGGCGGUUAUGCAAGACAGAUGUGAAAUCCCCGGGCUUAACCUGGGAACCGCAUUUGUGACUGCAUAGCUGGAGUACGGCAGAGGGGGAUGGAAUUCCGCGUGUAGCAGUGAAAUGCGUAGAUAUGCGGAGGAACACCGAUGGCGAAGGCAGUCCCCUGGGCCUGUACUGACGCUCAUGCACGAAAGCGUGGGGAGCAAACAGG
This 253-nucleotide ribosomal RNA is filed under the name uncultured bacterium. RNAcentral's name for it is "partial 16S ribosomal RNA". It matches the Rfam family "Bacterial small subunit ribosomal RNA", at positions 524 to 776 of the family's 1533-position model. The record is from RNAcentral.